This 368-nucleotide ribosomal RNA is filed under the name uncultured organism. RNAcentral describes it as "bacterial SSU rRNA". It matches the Rfam family "Bacterial small subunit ribosomal RNA", at positions 526 to 896 of the family's 1533-position model. The record is from RNAcentral.
CGUAGGUGGCAAGGCGUUGUCCGGAUUUAUUGGGUUUAAAGGUGCGUAGGCGGUUCCAUAAGUCAGUGGUGAAAUACGGCAGCUCAACUGUCGAGGUGCCAUUGAUACUGCGGAACUUGAGUACUGAUGAGGUAGGCGGAAUUGACGGUGUAGCGGUGAAAUGCUUAGAUAUCGUCAAGAACACCGAUAGCGAAGGCAGCUUACCAAGCAGUAACUGACGCUGAGGCACGAAAGUGCGGGGAUCAAACAGGAUUAGAUACCCUGGUAGUCCGCACAGUAAACGAUGAUUACUCGAUGUUGGCGAUACACAGCCAGCGUCUUAGCGAAAGCGAUAAGUAAUCCACCUGGGGAGUACGCCCGCAAGGGUG